This is a long non-coding RNA of Anthonomus grandis grandis, 1075 nucleotides long. RefSeq lists it as uncharacterized. The record is from RefSeq and is a predicted model, not a curated record. The transcript is spliced from 3 exons. Lineage: Eukaryota; Metazoa; Arthropoda; Insecta; Coleoptera; Curculionidae.
AUUGACUAUGCUCUGCCGCGAGAGCGAGCGCCGGCGGCACAAGGAACGGUGGUUCCGCAGACGCUAGUGUAAAAUACAGGUUAUGUUACGUUUUAAUACUUUGUAUUCAUUAGUAUUGAUUGGAGUUAAUUUGAAAUACGGAAAUAUUUUUAUGAACUGUUUUAUAUUUCAUAAUUUGUUUCCUGGUGUUGGAAAACUUCUGUUCUUCUUAUAAUAUUGUUUUUUUGAUUUUGUGUAAAAACUUUUAUUGUGUUUAUUGUUGUGUGCUACGAUCAUCCUUAUUACUAUGGAAAACUCUAUGGAAAACCAAUGUGCUGUUUGUAAAAAAGACUUUUCCAGCAAGUCUAAAUUAAGAAGUCAUGCAAAAAAGUUCCAUUCUGAUUUGGUAAAUGAAAUUGCCCCAAUGAAGGUGGUUAAAGUCGCAGCCACCUGUAACAAGUGCUUGAAAACAUUUUCACAAUAUUCAAACCUUAAGAAGCAUGUAAUAAAAUUCCAUCCUGUGUAAGGUGUAAGUUCUAUCUUAAAAACAUUUGGAGAUAACUUGCAAUUCAUAUAAAAAUUAGAAAUACUAAAGCAAAAAUUCUAUUAUUCAUUUGCAUACCGUAUACCGGGCUGCCAUUUCUUUAUUUUUCCACCCUGUAUACUGAAACUUGGUAGAAGGCAAAAGUCAAGAGGAUUUUCAUAUUGAAAAAGAAAAACUUAAAAUAAAUGUCUUACAGCUAAUAGAAAAAGUAACAAAUAAUGAUCAAUUGGAAGCUUUUAAAAAGAUUAUAGCCCCUUUGGAACCAACUAUGGCAGCCGUGCAGGAAAAAAAUGAACCCACACUGCCCGCUUCCCACAAAAAGAAUAUUCCACACAUAUAAAAUUAUAGAUAAACAAAGACGAUUUUUUUCAACAAAGAAAAAAAAAACAAAAAAAAGCCAACUUAAAUAAACCAAAUGCACAAGAGGCAGAUGUUACUGCUAUGCAACUUUUAAAUAUAUAGAUUAAUAAAAUAUAUUUUAUUCAAUGUCAUAAUAAUAUAGUUUAUAAUUAUAUGUUAUAAUUAAUAAAAACAAAAAGUGUUAUUAAUUAA